This 571-nucleotide long non-coding RNA is filed under the name Mus spicilegus (steppe mouse). RNAcentral describes it as "lncRNA (ENSMSIG00000007500.1)". Lineage: Eukaryota; Metazoa; Chordata; Mammalia; Rodentia; Muridae. The record is from RNAcentral.
CUUUGUUGUUGCUAACUGGAAGCCCGGGAAAGCCAAAAGAAGACAACGAAGGUGAUUUGGAGACAUGUAUUUUCCCUGGAGUCACAUCUGAUGAUAGGGAUCUCAAAUACAAUACAGGGACUCAUCACCCGCCUUCACCAACCCCAAGGCAGGACCUUUGUAAAAAUCCCAGAACAGAGAUUUUUCCCAGCCUGAAAAAGAGCGGAGCAUAAGUCACCUCACCUUCACAGCAGGAUGGGGUGGUCACCUGUAGUACGGUAGGUAGCGGUCAGCAAACGUUGGCUAUCUCCCAAGUCAUUGUCUUACCUCUGUAAGUAUCUGCUUACCUCUCAUCUCCACAGUUCUUGGCAAGGCACACAUCUGGAUGUGUUGAUGGGGGUUAGAGAUCUUGAGUGCAGAAGUGGAGGACUGUUGGGCCCCUGGUAAUAGGUACCUACCCCUUCAGAGAUUCACCGGUAUGUCUAGUGAGACAUGAGGGCUAAAGGAAAGCAAAAUAGGUUAAAAACAGCAGAUAGUGUCUCCCAGGCCCUGAGCACAGCUUCCUGACAACUCCUCAGUUUCUGUCUCCAUU